Molecule: non-coding RNA, 380 nt
Filed under: Rhizobium sp. EC-SD404
Lineage: Bacteria; Pseudomonadati; Pseudomonadota; Alphaproteobacteria; Hyphomicrobiales; Rhizobiaceae
Source: RNAcentral
AUUUCUAGUGCAUCGAAAGGUUCCUCGGCCGCCAUCGGCGUUCGGGGAUGAAAAGGGAAUGCGAGGGGUGGACCCAAUCCGGGCGCCUUGAUCGCAGCCGACCCCGCGACUGUAGAGUGGCGAGGCUUUCCCAUCCGACGAUCUUGGUCUGACGGUUGGAGCGAUGCGUGGUGCAUUGCGGACCACCAGACCGAGGACGCCGGAAAAGCCACUGGAGUGGCGACUGCGCAGAACCAUGGCUGGACGCCUCUUGUCUACGAAUCGUCCGCCAGCGCAGCGCCGCAAACUCCGGGAAGGUGAGGGACAAGCCGUUGCAUCGGGCAUUGCGCCCGAUGCUGCAGCCAUGAGCCAGGAGACCUGCCCGUCGAUUUCGAACCUAG